UUACGGUCAUAUCAUGUUGAAACACCAGUUCUCGUAUGACCAUUAAAGUUAAGCAACGUCGAGACUGGUCAAUACCGAGAUGGUUUACCGUUAGGGAAUACCAGGUGCUGUAAG
This is a non-coding RNA of Acanthosepion pharaonis, 114 nucleotides long. NCBI's taxonomy places the organism in Eukaryota, Metazoa, Mollusca, Cephalopoda, Sepiida, Sepiidae. The record is from the annotation of a GenBank genome assembly.